ACAGCCAGAUCAUGUUGAAACAGCAGUUCUCAUACAAUCACUAAAGUUAAGCAAUGUUGAGCCUGGUCAGUACCUAGAUGUGUGACUGCUUAAGAAUACCAGGUGCUGUAAG
Molecule: non-coding RNA, 112 nt
Organism: Acanthosepion pharaonis
Lineage: Eukaryota; Metazoa; Mollusca; Cephalopoda; Sepiida; Sepiidae
Source: the annotation of a GenBank genome assembly